UCUCCGUUGGUGAACCAGCGGAGGGAUCAUUACAGGACUCGCAAGACUCCUACAACCCUGUGAACUUAACUAUAAGCACGUUGCUUCGGCGGGUGUCUCGGAGGGGGUUCUCCCUCCCCGACACGCGAAACCCGCCGGCAGCCUACUAUACUCUGUCUCUUUGCGUUGGCAUCUCGAGUACAAUCAAACAAGUUAAAACUUUCAACAACGGAUCUCUUGGUUCUG
This 225-nucleotide unclassified non-coding RNA is filed under the name plant metagenome. Its description in RNAcentral is "partial contains small subunit ribosomal RNA, internal transcribed spacer 1, and 5.8S ribosomal RNA". The record is from RNAcentral.